UGUUGCAUGCAGGAUAAGGACAUUGGGCUCACCUUCUAGAACCUUCCGGAAAAAGGCACCGGAAUCUACACAGAGAUCGCAUCCAACAUAUUAGGAACUCAAACGCCAGCAAGCCCUCUGAGCAGCUCAGCUGGAGUCUCACAGCACACCUGUCGGGAGUUACAGGCUUUGUCAUCAUCCUGUCAUCAUGACGUCUUCGCCCGACACGGACCUGACCCCAUGCCGAUGUGUUCCCACACGGUCGUCACGUGGGUGCCAUCAAAGACCACUAAACCAACAAGCCCGUCCCCCACCAGCUGUGGCUCCCGACACUGCAACAGCUGUCGACUCUACGGAUGAAUCCUGGAUGAACACUGCGUCAGCAUAUCGGAGCGACCUGGAGCCCUCUGAGACACAUUAUCAUACAGAUUGGGCUGAAGGCAUCGACGAUGUGGAGCUGGUGUGCUGAGGGAACAGGAAUGGGAGAAUUUCCUCCGACGGAAAGCCGGCACGUAGCAGAAGUACAUCCUCGCGAGCUUUUGGGACGAUGAUGAAGUCUGCUGUUACUGGCCCAGAUCCCCUCACAGCACCCAAGCAGAACAUUCUCCUGACAGUAAUCUCCUGCACCUAUUGGGCCUCAGGCUCCAGCAAAUGGAGAGAGUGCUUUCAAGGACAUUGCUUGGGGACGCAUCA
Long non-coding RNA from Paramormyrops kingsleyae, 672 nucleotides. RefSeq lists it as uncharacterized. NCBI's taxonomy places the organism in Eukaryota, Metazoa, Chordata, Actinopteri, Osteoglossiformes, Mormyridae. The record is from RefSeq and is a predicted model, not a curated record.